This 250-nucleotide ribosomal RNA is filed under the name uncultured archaeon. RNAcentral's name for it is "partial 16S ribosomal RNA". It matches the Rfam family "Bacterial small subunit ribosomal RNA", at positions 524 to 773 of the family's 1533-position model. The record is from RNAcentral.
UACGUAGGUGGCGAGCGUUAUCCGGAUUUACUGGGUGUAAAGGGCGUGUAGGCGGGUCUGCAAGUCGGAUGUGAAAUUCCCAGGCUUAACUUGGGCGGGUCAUCCGAAACUGCGGAUCUUGAGUACUGGAGAGGAUAGUGGAAUUCCUAGUGUAGCGGUAAAAUGCGUAGAUAUUAGGAGGAACACCAGUGGCGAAGGCGGCUAUCUGGACAGUAACUGACGCUGAGGCGCGAAAGCGUGGGGAGCAAAC